UCUUUUGCGCACAGACGCUGAGCGCUGUGCUCUGUGCACUCUGCACUCAGACGCAGUGAUUGUGUGAACAUUUGCAACGUUAACAGCUAUAAACACCUCAGUGCAUCACCCGCCUGUUCCCUCUCACUGUGUAUAUUGCAUUAUAGUGUCCUUCCGUCAUCUCUGCUGUGAUGGCGUCAGCAUAUCAUUUGACAUCUUUCUAGAAGAUACAGUACCGGUCAAAAGUUUCAAUACCCCCGAUUUUAUGAUGAACUAUGCUUCAACUAUAAACCUGCGUAGAAUGACUUAAUUUUGGUGUUUACAUAGGCGGAUAAACAAAAGAGAAUUGAACUGAAAAUGUUAAAUGUAAAAAUGUAGAACAACAAAAGCAAGAGGAUCUCUCUCUGAAGCCCUGAUUAGUUAUGCUUGAAGUGUACUGUGUGUAACAGUAUUGGAAGACUUGCCCAAGUGUCUUUAUUAUAUGUCCUACCAGUGAAUGAUCAUGUUACCCUUUAACCGUUAAUCUUUCCUCAGCAGUUACUAAAACUGACGAGGGUUAAUUUCUAUAAAUACAUGUAAAUAAUAUAAUAGAAACAUAAGCAGCAAAACUCCAUUGUUGACAUUCUGAAUGUAAAGGGAAUAAAAAAUGGCAAAACGCACUCAGUUAAGCAGAGAAAAAAGAGAGUCUGUAAUUACUUUAAGAAAAGAAGGCCAAACAUUAAGACAAAUAGCAAAAGCCCUGCAAGUCUCUGUAAGCGCUGUGGCUAAGACUAUUAAACGAGUUGAAGAAACCGGUACUCAUGAGGACCGAGCGAGGUCAGGAAGGCCAAAGGUGACCUCUGAAUCGGAGAACAAGUUUAUUCGAGUCAUUAGCCUACGAGAUGGGCAAUUAAGUGCCCCUAAAAUACAAGCUCAGCUCAAUGCCACUAGAACAUCAGUUGUUUCAAUAUCAACAAUUCAAAGAAGACUACGUGAAGCUGGCUUAGCUAGAGGGCAGAAACCCAGAAAGAGAACUGCUCAGGCCAAAACAGCCGAGAAAGUAGAGAACUGUAACAUGGAAGUCGAGUCCACUGUAUAGAUUAGCUAUCAAAAGUUUGGACACACCUGACUGAAUGCAUGCCUUUGAUAAUUCAAGACAUUUUGAUCCAAAGGCUUAUGCUAAAAUUCUCAAUUAUCAUAAAAUUAUGAUAAAAUAUGUUUCUAAAUGAUGAUUUUGAUCUUGGGUGGCUCUUCAUGAAGGUAGAAUAUGCCAAGAGUGUGCAAAGCUGAAACAAGGCAAAAGGGGCCUGCUCUGAAGAAUGUUUCAGAUGAUAGUUUUGAUUUCUUCAACUUUUGGUCUAUCCAUGUGUGUAAUUUAUAGUUUUGACAGCGUCACUAUAAGUUAUAUAUGGAACAUAAUCAUAUUAAGGAAAACUUAUCUAUAAAGAGGUGUGCCCAAACUUUUGACUAGCAUCUACAGACACAGAAUGAGUGUGUGUGAGCAUGUUCUACAGUUGCUGUUCCCACAUGUAGCCCUUUUUCACUGACAAGGUGCCAUUGCUGUUUUUUUCUCAAUUUAGUUUAGCACUUCUUAUAUUUCUGUGUACACAUUGGCUUUCCUUCGAAAACUUUAUUUAUUUUGUACUCUUUUUUUUUUGUGAUGUUUUUUCCACAAACCGCUGGUGAUUAUGCUGUUUUCGCUCAUUUGGUAAAUCAUAUAGCUUGGUAACAUUACUUAAGUGAACUGUUCACAAAGUCAGUAAUCAACACAACGUCAACACGCCAUGUGGGUGCACUUAGCGAUCUAGGCUUGAUAACUUUAUCCUCACCUGAAAUAGUAAAAAAUUAGGUAAACUAUGUUGCUCUAACUCUCAAAGUUACUUUUAACAGUAAAGGUUUCCAAGAAUAGGAGAGAGCUUGCAACUAAAGACAUAAUUUGACCUCCGAUAAAAACAAAAAUAUUAUUUUACUAUAAAACAAAAUUUUAAAAUACUUUUUUUUUUCGUUUGAAAAUGGUAUAUCAACUCUUAUGAACAGAUUUACUUUGUGACAUCAUCAUCCACCAAGAUCCUUUGCGACCUUUCCCUGGUUCCAGGCCAGCAAGUUUUAUGGGGCCAGAAUUUUGCCAGAUUUUUUUUUUUAAUUUGCAUGAAAUGGUUCGAGCUCAGGCCCUGGCACCUUUGUUGGUGAAAAUGAGGUAGCAGUGCAAUGACUUUGGUGGUUAAAGGCAUUUUUCAGUGAACAUGGUUAUUAUAUCAUACUUCAGACAGGGUCACCUAUUUCAUCAGGCUCGGUGCUUACUGGGUGGUCCUUUCAUCUUUUCAUGCUGAAAACACAAAAUACACCUCAAAAUUAAAUAAUAGCUUACUAGUAUGGCAAAGAAAGAACAUGGAGAAUAACUUCAAGUAAUGACCUGGCCUGCCUAGUUUCCGGACUGCAAUAUCCAGUAUCAUUUUUCAACUGAAUGCAAAAGGUGCCUUUUCCAAGAUUUAGGCACAGUUUUCAAUACUGUUUUCACCACUUUGAAUACCUCUGAUGAUUUCUAUACUGUACAAUGUUUGAAAUAAACUUAAAACUUACACUGUACAAUAUCUAGCAAGUGUACUUUUGACUGGUACUGUACUGUCAUGCUUCUUGAAGUAGACAGCCACGUCUUUGAGUUCAUGCUUUGGCCAGGCUGAUGGAAGCCUUUCUUAGGGGCCCGCUGUAGCUGUCUCUUAGAAAACUGCACAUGACAUCAAAGAGAAUGCCUUCAGAGCUUUGGACUCAUUGGCUCCUGUGACCUUUCCCUUGAGGAAGUCUCUCUGGGGUCCCGUAUUCCAUCCUGAAAAUGCCCUCUCAGUCCGUCUGUGUCCCUUUCCAACUAUUCCAUGUACUCUCACAAGCCUUUCACAGUCUGCACUGUUGCUAAGCAGCAGUCGACUUCUGCAUCCACUACCUUUGCUAACUACCCUGGUAGAUCAUCUGUGGCUGAACUAGUCUAUUGUGUCUUGAGAUGGAGAUUAAGUCUGAAACAUCUUCUCCAGUUCCUUCUCCUUGCUCUGUCUCAAGUUGGAAGAACAACUUUAGGAAGACAGAAUCAGACAGCUGCUAUGUGACACAGGCGGAAGAAGAAGCAGAGCAGAGUGAUCUGUUGUCGGAAUGCGUGGAGGUGAAGCAAAGCAACAGGGAGCUAGUGGCGAAAACCUGACCUGCUGGACAAGGUUUAUGGAGCAAGAGAACCCAAAGUGGUCUGGCCUGUAGCAUGGAGAGUAGGAGCUCAGCCCAAACCCCUCAUAGACUUCUCACCCUUUGUGGUUCACCCCGGGGCACACCAAAAAAGGAGAUUAUUUCCCUUUUGUCUAAAAGUUAACUUUGAUAUUCCAGCAAUGGACAACAUGAAGAGGCCAGUUCACUGAAUUAAGGACACAUCUAAAAUAAGUACACCAGGCAAGUAGCAUGCAAUGACACAGACUGAGUUCACCACAAAGCCACAGAAUAAUGUCUAAAAAGACAUUUUCCCUCACACGUUUAGUACUGGGACGUUCACAAGACAGCUAAAGCAUACUGAGACAUCAAAUAUGAUUGUAUGAUAUUUGUAUGCUUCAUGAAUGUGUAUUUCAUCUGAUUUGUUGGACUACUUAUGACAUCGUUUAGCUGUGUCCUGGUUGGUGUCAUGCAUGGUAGUCAUGUAAGAAAUUUUCGAAAAGGUUUCAUGAAUGUAAAACACCACAGUUACAUGAUCUGGAUGUUUCCUUAUGUUGCCUACUCUGGUAGGUGUGAACAAGAAUUUCAACACAGUACAACUCUCUGGACAGCUGACCAAUUUGCAGCCUCUGAAUCAGGACACCUCCCAUUUCUUAACUGUAUAAAUCUGAAAAACUCAAAUUCGUCUUUGAGUUGUGCAUUAGAUUUCCAGCCACGGUUCCUUCCAGCUUCAAAUGUCUGACUUCAGUUAUCUGGACUGUCUCCUUGAUCUCCACUGAUAGCUUGUGGACAGUUGGGUCAUAAGACUUUCUCCACAAUCUCUAGACAUGCAGACUUGACUGAAGACAUGACCUUUUCCACACGCCAUCUCAAACGUAACUGUGUAGUUUCUCUGCUUACCUUCUGCCUUCCCCAAUGUUAGCAUGUCUGGCUAUGUAAGUGUCUUGUUAAAUGUGUCUACUACAGCUUAGCUGAUCUUCUAUCUCAGAAUCUGCUGCUGUUGUUUGCCCGCUUAAACCUUUAGAUCAGGGAUGUCCAAUCCUGUCCACAAAGGACCGGUGUGGCUGCAGGUUUUCACUCCAACAAAGCAGGAGGUCACCAGUUACUAAGACCACUUGAUUUUGCAGACCCUUUGCAGAUAAGAUUGGACACCCCUGUUUUAUCACAUAGGCCUAUACUGUCUCUUAGUUCAUAAUCAAGUGUCAGUUUAUCUUUUGCCAUCCAGUUUCACACUGUUGCUGUUAGUUCACUGUUUCAUCUUCUCAGUCUCCCUGUUUUUGUAUUUAUCCUUAUAUACUGUAUUCAGUUUUACUGCGUACUCUUAUUAUUAAAGUUCGUGUGUGUUUUCAUCA
Molecule: long non-coding RNA, 4496 nt
Organism: Colossoma macropomum (tambaqui)
Lineage: Eukaryota; Metazoa; Chordata; Actinopteri; Characiformes; Serrasalmidae
Exons: 3
Source: RefSeq, a predicted model, not a curated record